RNAcentral lists this ribosomal RNA (249 nucleotides) under uncultured bacterium. Its description in RNAcentral is "partial 16S ribosomal RNA". It matches the Rfam family "Bacterial small subunit ribosomal RNA", at positions 524 to 776 of the family's 1533-position model. The record is from RNAcentral.
UACGUAGGGGGCAAGCGUUGUCCGGAAUCAUUGGGCGUAAAGAGCGUGUAGGCGGCUCGGUAAGUCCGCUGUGAAAGUCCAGGGCUCAACCCUGGAAUGCCGGUGGAACUGUCGAGCUAGAGUCCGGAAGAGGCGAGUGGAAUUCCUGGUGUAGCGGUGAAAUGCGCAGAUAUCAGGAGGAACACCAAUGGCGAAGGCAGCUCGCUGGACGGUACUGACGCUGAGACGCGAAGCGUGGGAGCAAACAGG